Molecule: long non-coding RNA, 356 nt
Organism: Eufriesea mexicana
Lineage: Eukaryota; Metazoa; Arthropoda; Insecta; Hymenoptera; Apidae
Exons: 3
Source: RefSeq, a predicted model, not a curated record
CUAAAUAAAUACACCGAUGGAGAAAAAGACCCGAAGGUAUUUCUUUCAUAUUUCACUCGAGCCGUUCCUUCCAUUCACCGCUCCUUGUGCCGAUUGCGCCCAGCACGGUGAAAAAGAAAAUAGCGUUAUUCGCCGGAGUAAAACAGAAAUGUUUACACACUGUCACGUCAGGCGAAACAAAAAGGGACGCAUAACGCGUAACACCUGCAACAACUAACCCAGAUGCCUCGUGUAUUGUUCACCGGAUGGGGCACCACGCGAUACAUGGUGCACGCUAUCUCUUGUUUCUUAUUUUGGAUUUCUCAACUUCUGCCUUGUUUCUUCUUAUUCUAACACUAUGCCUACCAUGAUCAGUC